GUGAAAGUUUCCAAGGGCGCAUGGUGGAUGCCUUGGC
RNAcentral lists this ribosomal RNA (37 nucleotides) under Micrococcus luteus. Its description in RNAcentral is "partial 23S rRNA". Lineage: Bacteria; Bacillati; Actinomycetota; Actinomycetes; Micrococcales; Micrococcaceae. The record is from RNAcentral.